RNAcentral lists this transfer RNA (69 nucleotides) under Ptilometra sp. DH-R. RNAcentral's name for it is "tRNA-Lys". It matches the Rfam family "tRNA". From Rfam's summary of the family: Transfer RNA (tRNA) molecules are approximately 80 nucleotides in length. Their secondary structure includes four short double-helical elements and three loops (D, anti-codon, and T loops). Further hydrogen bonds mediate the characteristic L-shaped molecular structure. tRNAs have two regions of fundamental functional importance: the anti-codon, which is responsible for specific mRNA codon recognition, and the 3' end, to which the tRNAs corresponding amino acid is attached (by aminoacyl-tRNA synthetases). tRNAs cope with the degeneracy of the genetic code in two manners: having more than one tRNA (with a specific anti-codon) for a particular amino acid; and 'wobble' base-pairing, i.e. permitting non-standard base-pairing at the 3rd anti-codon position. The record is from RNAcentral. Lineage: Eukaryota; Metazoa; Echinodermata; Crinoidea; Comatulida; Ptilometridae.
CUCUGGUUAGCUAAUUUUAAGUGUUAGACUCUUAAUCUAAUUAUGUCAGUUAUAAUCUGUCACUGGAGG